RNAcentral lists this ribosomal RNA (301 nucleotides) under uncultured bacterium. Its description in RNAcentral is "partial 16S ribosomal RNA". It matches the Rfam family "Bacterial small subunit ribosomal RNA", at positions 509 to 808 of the family's 1533-position model. The record is from RNAcentral.
CAGUAGCCACGGUAAUACGUAGGUCCCGAGCGUUGUCCGGAUUUAUUGGGCGUAAAGGGAGCGCAGGCGGUUUAGUAAGUCUGAAGUUAAAGGCAUUGGCUCAACCAAUGUAUGCUUUGGAAACUGUUAGACUUGAGUGCAGAAGGGGAGAGUGGAAUUCCAUGUGUAGCGGUGAAAUGCGUAGGUAUAUGGAGGAACACCGGUGGCGAAAGCGGCUCUCUGGUCUGUCACUGACGCUGAGGCUCGAAAGCGUGGGUAGCGAACAGGAUUAGAUACCCCCGUAGUCCCUGUCUCUUAUACC